UGUCAUCUUCUUCCAUUGAAGCUUUCCUAAUAACAUGCCUUGCACAAGCGAGUAUGCACUCCCUCUUGCAUUCGCCCUCGUUGAAUAUCUUUAUUUGCAUGCACUCGAAGUAGCACUCCGUCAUGCAAUGCCCAUUCCCGCUUCGCUCUGCCGCUUGUACCGCAGCCGCCACCACCAGUGCCGCCACCAGAGCCACCAUAAUCAUGGUUGGGAUAACC
This 218-nucleotide long non-coding RNA is filed under the name Erythranthe guttata (spotted monkey flower). RNAcentral describes it as "long non-coding RNA (EGUT_LNC001250)". The record is from RNAcentral. Lineage: Eukaryota; Viridiplantae; Streptophyta; Magnoliopsida; Lamiales; Phrymaceae.